RNAcentral lists this long non-coding RNA (901 nucleotides) under Theobroma cacao (cacao). Its description in RNAcentral is "long non-coding RNA (TCAC_LNC001353)". Lineage: Eukaryota; Viridiplantae; Streptophyta; Magnoliopsida; Malvales; Malvaceae. The record is from RNAcentral.
CAUAUAUGAAAAUCCUAUUAAAAUCAUUAUUAUAGAGUAUAUAUUUUCUUGACUUUACAAGAAUAAUGGCGUAUACAUAAGUAUUCGAGAGAAAAGCUCUUACACUCUUUUGAUACUAGAGUUUAUAUGUAUGAUUAAUGCCACAUGCUUUUAUAAACUCUUAAGCAUAUAUAUAUAUAUAUAUAUAUAAAUACUCACUAUAUAUUUGUGUAGUCUUACAAGAGCAACAAGGCAAUAACUAAAACAAAACCCUUUUAUAACGAACAGUUGUCCAAGCAGACCCCCAAAGAUAGGAAUAAAUAAUAUUACAGCAACUUUACUUUAAGACGGUGUCUUUUAAUUUAGGCCUUUAAGCAGCAGAGGGUGCAGGAAUGUAGGAAACGGCAGGGUCAGGCAGUGAAGCCAUGAUUGAUGGCUUUGAUGAAAACGUUUGGUCUGCCUCUGGAACUGGGUUUUGAUCUGCAUUCAUAUCCAGAGACUCAUCGUUGUAAAUGUCCCACCAUUUUGCCACUAGCAUCUUGACGUCCUCUCUGUCCAUGUUCGCCUCCUUUCCUGUGUACCUCCAUGGUUUUGAUCCCUAUUUGAUUUCCACAAGAUAACAACAAAUUAAUGCAGACAAAGGUUAUUUAUCAAGUUGAAAUUUCAGUACAAUUAAUUAAUUGUGGUUAUUGUUAGAUAAUUAAUUCAGUGGCAUACAAUAUAUACUUAAAUUAAUUUGUAUAAGUAAUACAGCUGAUGAAUUUGAAGGUAAGACAACACUUACAGCUGCACAAUAGUGGACCACCUUUAUCUUGUCAAGCUCCACAUUCUCUGGGUGGCGCCAUAACAUUGCAAGAACCAGGUUGUAUACGAGAGGGAUGGGUUUGUACACUUUUUGGAAAAACAUAUUCAAGAAAUCCUG